This 253-nucleotide ribosomal RNA is filed under the name uncultured bacterium. RNAcentral describes it as "partial 16S ribosomal RNA". It matches the Rfam family "Bacterial small subunit ribosomal RNA", at positions 524 to 776 of the family's 1533-position model. The record is from RNAcentral.
UACGUAGGUGGCAAGCGUUGUCCGGAAUUAUUGGGCGUAAAGCGCGCGCAGGCGGUCCCUUAAGUCUGAUGUGAAAGCCCACGGCUCAACCGUGGAGGGUCAUUGGAAACUGGGGGACUUGAGUACAGAAGAGGAAAGCGGAAUUCCACGUGUAGCGGUGAAAUGCGUAGAGAUGUGGAGGAACACCAGUGGCGAAGGCGACUUUCUGGUCUAUAACUGACACUGAGGCGCGAAAGCGUGGGGAGCAAACAGG